CCCGGUGCUCGUCGCUUUGCCGCCCGCCGCAGCAUCCUUCGGCUCGGCGUAGCCGGUUGUACCCGCGCGCUUGGCCUCUGCCUGCUGCGGAGGCUGGGCCCGUCCGCCCCGCAAAAAGCAAUGCGCCGUCUGACAGCAGCCCGUCUCGUAAAAAAACCCUCCUGGACUUGCUUAAAAUAUAGCCUGGUCCUGUUCACGCUCUUAAGAGACCUCUCAGGACGUGAAAGCAACAUUGUCAGAAUGUGUGAAGAGACUCAAACCUGUUUGCUGAAAGCAGUUCAUAAAGGGACGUUGCCAAGGUCCAUCCUGGAGGAGUCAGAGAGAAUGGGACCUUCUCCAGCCGGAAUCUGAGCCUGCCAUUAUAGUAAAAAUGAGAAUAGAUUGAAGGCUCAAUUGAAUGGCAAGUUAUAAUCUCUAUUUAUUGAUGGUAUUUGAGCAUCCUAAAGGGUGACUCUAUCUGAUAAGAC
This is a long non-coding RNA of Apteryx rowi (Okarito brown kiwi), 467 nucleotides long. Lineage: Eukaryota; Metazoa; Chordata; Aves; Apterygiformes; Apterygidae. The record is from Ensembl.